GUUUUUUCCCCUGAGGGCGAGCGAAGCGGGAAGAGCUCAAACUUGAAAGCGGCGUCAUACGGGCGUCCUCAAUGUAAUAUAUGAGGCGUUUUCUGUGGUGGACCGUGUCCAAGUCCCUUGGAACAGGGUAUCAAAGAGGGUGACAAUCCCGUACUUGACACGACAACCAGUGCUCUGUGAUACGUGUUCUACCGAGUCGAGUUGUUUGGGAAUGCAGCUCAAAAUGGGUGGUGAAUUCCAUCUAAAGCUAAAUAUUGGCGAGAGACCGAUAGCGAACAAGUACCGUGAGGGAAAGAUGAAAAGCACUUUGGAAAGAGAGUUAAACAGUAUGUGAAAUUGUUGAAAGGGAAACGAUGGAGGUCAGUCGUGUCUGUGGGAUUCAGCCGUCUCUGGCGGUGUACUUCCCACAGACGGGUCAACAUCAGUUUUGGCUGGCGGAUAAAGGCAGGAGGAAGGUGGCACCCCCGGGUGUGUUAUAGCCUCUUGUUGCAUACGCUGGCUGAGACUGAGGAAUGCAGCUCGCCUCUAUGGCCGGGGUUCGCCCACGU
Molecule: ribosomal RNA, 548 nt
Filed under: Saitozyma podzolica
Lineage: Eukaryota; Fungi; Basidiomycota; Tremellomycetes; Tremellales; Trimorphomycetaceae
Description: eukaryotic LSU rRNA
Rfam family: Eukaryotic large subunit ribosomal RNA
Source: RNAcentral